This 449-nucleotide ribosomal RNA is filed under the name uncultured bacterium. RNAcentral describes it as "partial 16S ribosomal RNA". It matches the Rfam family "Bacterial small subunit ribosomal RNA", at positions 29 to 523 of the family's 1533-position model. The record is from RNAcentral.
AGCGAACGCUGGCGGCAGGCCUAACACAUGCAAGUCGAACGAAGCCUACGGGCUUAGUGGCGGACGGGUGAGUAACACGUGGGAACGUACCUUUUGGUUCGGAACAACUCAGGGAAACUUGAGCUAAUACCGGAUGAGCCCUUAGGGGGAAAGAUUUAUCGCCGAAAGAGCGGCCCGCGUUAGAUUAGCCAGUUGGUGAGGUAAAGGCUCACCAAGGCAACGAUCCAUAGCUGGUCCGAGAGGAUGAUCAGCCACACUGGGACUGAGACACGGCCCAGACUCCUACGGGAGGCAGCAGUGGGGAAUCUUGCGCAAUGGGCGAAAGCCUGACGCAGCCAUGCCGCGUGAAUGAUGAAGGUCUUAGGAUUGUAAAAUUCUUUUACCAGGGACGAUAAUGACGGUACCUGGAGAAAAAGCCCCGGCUAACUUCGUGCCAGCCGCCGCCGUAA